Molecule: ribosomal RNA, 85 nt
Filed under: Stenotrophomonas maltophilia
Lineage: Bacteria; Pseudomonadati; Pseudomonadota; Gammaproteobacteria; Lysobacterales; Lysobacteraceae
Also listed under: 2 other names
Description: partial 16S ribosomal RNA
Rfam family: Bacterial small subunit ribosomal RNA
Source: RNAcentral
AGUUUUAAGUGAAGAGUUUGAUCCUGGCUCAGAGUGAACGCUGGCGGUAGGCCUAACACAUGCAAGUCGAACGGCAGCACAGGAG